AUUGAACGCUGGCGGCAGGCCUAACACAUGCAAGUCGAGCGAGCGGCGGACGGGAGAGUAAUGUAUGGGGACUGCCCGAUAGAGGGGGAUAACUACUGGAAACGGUGGCUAAUACCGCAUACUAUCGGAUAACCCAUAUGGGAUUAGCUAGUUGGUGAGGUAAUGGCUCACCAAGGCGACGAUCCCUAGCUGGUCUGAGAGGAUGAUCAGCCACACUGGGACUGGGACACGGCCCAGACUCCUACGGAGGCAGCAGUGGGGAAUAUUGCACAAUGGGCGCAAGCCUGAUGCAGCCAUGCCGCGUGUAUGAAGAAGGCCCUAGGGUUGUAAACUUCUUUAGACAGGGACGCGGUACCUGUAGAAUAAGCCACGGCUAACUACGUGCCAGCAGCCGCGGUAAUAC
RNAcentral lists this ribosomal RNA (403 nucleotides) under uncultured bacterium. RNAcentral's name for it is "partial 16S ribosomal RNA". It matches the Rfam family "Bacterial small subunit ribosomal RNA", at positions 30 to 526 of the family's 1533-position model. The record is from RNAcentral.